This 497-nucleotide ribosomal RNA is filed under the name uncultured bacterium. RNAcentral's name for it is "partial 16S ribosomal RNA". It matches the Rfam family "Bacterial small subunit ribosomal RNA", at positions 28 to 507 of the family's 1533-position model. The record is from RNAcentral.
GAUGAACGCUGGCGGCGUGCCUAAUACAUGCAAGUCGAGCGAACGGACGAGAAGCUUGCUUUUCUGAUGUUAGCGGCGGACGGGUGAGUAACACGUGGAUAACCUACCUAUAAGACUGGGAUAACUUCGGGAAACCGGAGCUAAUACCGGAUAAUAUUUUGAACCGCAUGGUUCAAAAGUGAAAGACGGUCUUGCUGUCACUUAUAGAUGGAUCCGCGCUGCAUUAGCUAGUUGGUAAGGUAACGGCUUACCAAGGCAACGAUGCAUAGCCGACCUGAGAGGGUGAGCGGCCACACUGGAACUGAGACACGGUCCAGACUCCUACGGGAGGCAGCAGUAGGGAAUCUUACGCAAUGGGCGAAAGCCUGACGGAGCAACGCCGCGUGAGUGAUGAAGGUCUUCGGAUCGUAAAACUCUGUUAUUAGGGAAGAACAUAUGUGUAAGUAACUGUGCACAGCUUGACGGUACCUAAUCAGAAAGCCACGGCUAACUACGUG